Molecule: long non-coding RNA, 2245 nt
Filed under: Homo sapiens (human)
Lineage: Eukaryota; Metazoa; Chordata; Mammalia; Primates; Hominidae
Description: non-protein coding LINC01896:31
Source: RNAcentral
GCCCACCCUUUCCCGGGAUUUCGGGGAUGACACGGGGGCCAGGUGAGGGGGCUGCGCACUUCUGGAUCGGCCCCACACACUCGGCCCCUGGCGCGGCGCGCUCCCCGCACACGCGCCCGCCCCCUCCCCGCGGUCACACGCACGCGCCCUCGCCCUCGCCCCGCGCGCACAGGCGCGUACUCCCACCCGCGGCCGUGCACCCGCCGCGCUCCUUCCCGCGCGUGUCCUCUCUCCCCGAGCGGCCGCCAGGAUGUGCCCCCGGCCCCGUCGUCGCCGCGCCCGCGCCCCUCGCCCCAGUACGUCUUUUUUCGUUUCCUAAAUUUCUUAUUUUUGUCCUUGCAAGUGGUCCUGUCUGGUGUGAACCGUCAGCACAGAUGGCCUCCUGGAGCUUCCCCGAGUCGUUCGCUGGGGGAAGCGGGCGGUGAGCGGCCAGCCCGGGCGCUCCGCAGGCCGCGAGCUCCCGGCAGGGCUGGUGGCGGGGGUCCGCCUGGGGGAGGAAUCCCCGCCUGCUCCAUCGGACCCGGCCUGGCGCGGCUCGCGGCGCUCGGCGGGCUCCCUUCCAUUCUAGAAUCUUCCCGCUUGCUUCCCAGCCCGCGUUCUUCCGCCUGCCUUUAAUUGUGUAAGUUUGACGAAGUCAGAGCUUUGGGUUCCAGGAAAAGCGCAGGAGGGUCAUAGAGGAAGGGAGGGCGCAGGUUGGAGUCAGGUCCAAACAGUCCCUAUCGCCACUUUUGAAAAAAAAAAAAAACAACAAAAACCCUUAAGGUUGGUUUUAUUUUGCCUUUUGGUAGCGGGCGUAUUCAUUUAGAUUUUUUUUUCAAGACAGGCAAAUAAAAGGUGUUUGAAAUCUCUAGUUAUCCCGUUUAACACACCCAUCGAUGGCGCUUUUCUAGUUAAGCUACGGGGGAAACGUCUUUAUCCCGCAGUUAGGCUGCGAACUUGUGCAGAUGCUCAGGCUUUGUGGAGACGCUCCGGCAUCUGGCGCAGAGGCGCCCGGCGGGGAAAAGUUUGCAGCCCGGGCUUUGGGGCGCGCGGGGGGCAGGAAUUUUUCUGAGAAGAGAGGGGCAUAGAGAGGCGGCGCGGGUGGGGAGAGAAAAAAGGAACGCAGGGGGGAGGGGGAAAAGCAGCUUGCAGGAUGGGAGUUUCUUGCAGAAUUUACAGGAUUAAGGAGUUUGGGGAAGUCGCAGAGCUGCAGCGGAAAGGCAGGGGUCUGAGACUACUUUUGAGAAGAGAAACAACGCAAAACGAUCGCUGGAGGGCCAGAGCCCUGGUCGAAGGUGCCCUAGCUUUUAUGACCUGGUUAAUUGUGUCUCCUUUUUAUUUUUAUUUUUUUCCUUACCACUACUACUACUACUACUUUUAUUUUUUUUUAACCGAUACACUUUGGAGAGAAGAAGCAGACACAGGUUCCCACGGCGUCUGACGCCUGCGGAGCAAGUCCAGAGCCAGCUGGACUCGCAGCCUCUGGCCCGGCGGCACCAACUCCUCACUGGGUCAUUUUGAGCGCGCUGUGCCCACCUUUUCUGUUGCGUGUGGACGUGGGGAGGAUCUUCUAAGUCCCUCCAACGAAGGCAAGUGUGAGACUCUGGCCCUUUAUUUGUAAGAAGCAAGCCUUCAGAUUGCAGAAGUGUCGCGCGGGUCGCCGUGCGUUGCGCGAGUGGGAAGAUGGAGGAGGCCGGCACGCUGCUUUCGUGGACGCAAGUGAACCGGGCGUGAAGGCAGGGUGCGAGCUCUGCCCUUGGCCCAGCCCUGCGUGGGCGCCGUCCCAGAUUCCGGGCGGUGCGGGGUGCAGAGAUCUGGAGAGACUUGCGGGCUCCCCAGCGCAGGCUGCUCUGGGAUUUCGUUGGAAGAUCCGGCAGAGCCUUGGAGGAGAGGGCCCGGGAGGCUGUGUGUGCAGCGGAAACUUGUACGAAUGCCCCCACAGCGGAAAUGGUGCGCACGAGUAAUUUCUGCGGUGCACCCUUUUAAAAAUUGACAAGUGAACAAGAUCAAUUUUUUAAGAAAGCAAAGGUAGAAAACAAAAGGCGUGCGACUUCUUGACUGGCUUGUUCCCGCCUUUCUUCCUUCUCUAUACUCAGAUCAGAAACUUUUCUUUAAUUGCUCUUAUUCAGUGCGACAACUUUUAAUAAAAGCAUUUGCAUUUUAAGCCUGAGUUGCAACCAUAGAUUUAUUGCGAAGUGACAACGUGUCUAUGGAAUAUUUUCGCAGAUGAGACAGGACAUGCGCUCUAGUCGUGCCCAGAUUAAAG